AAGAGGAGGGAGUGGGUGGAGAUAUUACUUCGGCUUUGUUCCUGCUUGCCUGAAUGCCUGUUGUGUUUAUAGUGCGAUUGCUAGAUGCUGAGGCUUGGAUUCCCUACAUUAAAAAACUGACAGUGCAGGAUCGUCUGUACUCUGGGAGCUGCAGCGGCAGUUAUCUACUCUUCAAAGAUGCCACGUUGUUUUGCAAUUGGUUGCUCUACAAAACAAAUAAAGGGGAGAAAAACAAGCGAUAUCUCUCUGCAUUGCUUUCCGACAUCGCCUAACAGAAUAAGGAC
Molecule: long non-coding RNA, 284 nt
Organism: Bombina bombina (fire-bellied toad)
Lineage: Eukaryota; Metazoa; Chordata; Amphibia; Anura; Bombinatoridae
Exons: 3
Source: RefSeq, a predicted model, not a curated record